GCCCCACACUUAUUGGCCAGCUCGCCGCCAAUCAGCGGAGGCUGCCGGGGGCCGCCUAAAGAAGAGGCUGUGCUCUGGGGCUCCGGCUCCUCAGAGAGCCUCGGCUAGAUUGUUCCUUAAGGAGAGGACAGUGCUUGUUUAAGGCUGUAUCCCUGCUGUCUGAGCAGAACCAGGUCUUCGAGAUCAACACACUUUUCGUAAUACCAAGCUGUUGCCUUUUACAUUCUCAGAAGCAAACAGACACAUGAUUCUCACUGACAAUACUGUCACUAUGUUAAAUGCUGCUAUGCAGUUUGGAUUUUUCUAAGGUAGUUUAGGUAUGGAGUAUGUGUUUUUUAUUAAUUAACUGUCUAGGUUAUGCCUUCUAUAAUCUAUACAGUUGUUAUUUUUAAAUCUUGUAGCUUUGUAUAUAAGGACAAAGGUAUUUUAUUGUCAUAACGUUUUGAGCAUUUCCCCAAAGUUCCAAAUUAUAAAACUGCAACUUUAGAACUUAAUUAGAAAGAGGGUUGUGGUUUUAUAAGAAGACACUUAAUUGUUCCACUAAUCUUAUUUGUGUUUUAAGAUAUUAUAUAAACUGACAAGUAUGGAAGAGUCGGUCAAGAAACUUAGGGAGUGAAAUGUAUCCUGGCGUUCGAGAUCAUUUAACUGGGCAUGUCCUUUGCAACACCCUAACUGGAGUAGUGUUGGCACCAGCUGUGUUGUGGAGUCAUUCCAAUGAGUGUUGGACUGUUUUGAACGCUACUGAGUAAUUUAAAUUCAGACUUCUGGUGUUCCAUAAAACAAAACUGUCAUAAGUUUCAAACCAGAAAUUUAAAAACUGAAUAUUUCAGAAGAAAAUUAUUUGCUGUAUUAGCUGGAGAAAUGUAUAAUGGCUAAGAAUUUAGAAACUAUACAGUUGACAUUGCUGAGUAUCUGCCAGAUGAAAAGAAAUGCUCAUAGUGGUUCUUUUGAACAGUAUAGUUAACUUGUUAAAGAUUUUCCCCACAGAUACACACUCUAAUAAGAUAUACGUAACACUUUUCAAAUGGAUGCAGCUACAAACAUGGUUGGACUUGUUACUGUGCUUUUAUUUAUUUAAUGUGAAAGCUUGGCAAUAAACCUAUGUCCUAAAAUA
Peromyscus leucopus (white-footed mouse) is the source of this 1114-nucleotide long non-coding RNA. RefSeq lists it as uncharacterized. The record is from RefSeq and is a predicted model, not a curated record. The transcript is spliced from 2 exons. Lineage: Eukaryota; Metazoa; Chordata; Mammalia; Rodentia; Cricetidae.